This 511-nucleotide unclassified non-coding RNA is filed under the name Hevea brasiliensis (rubber tree). Lineage: Eukaryota; Viridiplantae; Streptophyta; Magnoliopsida; Malpighiales; Euphorbiaceae. The record is from RNAcentral.
AAACACUUAAUCUGGAAUUUGUGCGGCAGGUUAAAUCAUCCGAUGGGUCCUCUGCCGAGCUUCAGAAGAGAUGCCAUGAUUUACAGGCCAACUUGAAUCAAUGCCUUGCAAAUGAGGCUUGUUCAAUUAAAGAAAACAAGGAAUUGCUACAAUCUCUUUCUUCUGUUAGAUCUGACUUAGAAGCUUCUAUUGCUCAAAAUAAUGUUCUUUCAGAUGCCAAGUAUGUUAACACAGUGAAACUUGAGGAAUACAAGAAGGAGAUGACAAUAUUGGAGGAUUCUCUCCUUGAAAAUAAUAAUCACCACGCUCUUGAAGUGGAGAAGUUGAAGAACGAGCUGGCAAAUGCUGAAGAAGAACUUAAUUACUUGUCACUUUCCAAGGAGGAACUGGAGAUCAUGGUGAUUGUGCUCCGAGGCAAAUUAGAUGAACUGCACCCCCACACGAUCUUACAGGAGAACAACAAAGAUGAAAUGGUCACUUUGCAGUCUCAAUGUGAUAAACUCACCCACAA